CGCCGUCGUGGGCGAGGCCGCGUCGGGCGCGUCCGGCGCGUCGAUCGGCCGCUCGGUGCGGCCGACGCCGA
RNAcentral lists this transfer RNA (71 nucleotides) under Actinocatenispora thailandica. RNAcentral's name for it is "tRNA-Arg". Lineage: Bacteria; Bacillati; Actinomycetota; Actinomycetes; Micromonosporales; Micromonosporaceae. The record is from RNAcentral.